UGAUAACAUUUGAUUUACAGUGUAUUUGAAACUUUAAAAAUAUAAAGUAAAUAUUAAAAUAGUUACAGAAUACAUGUAGAUAGCAAUGCUAGCAGAAGCUUCUCCUGCCAAGAAACAGAGAAUCAUGGGUCCAAGCCAUCAAGGAAAUGGGUUAGGAUCGAUACAAAAUAAAGAAAAUUAUCAGAAGCUACAAAUAGAGAGAUUACAAUUGCCCAUAUAUUCUGCUAGAAAGAGACUAUUACAAGAAAUACAGAAAUUAGAUACUGUCAUAGUUAUUGGUGAGACUGGAAGCGGAAAGACAACUCAAAUACCCCAAUUUUUAUUAGAAUCAGGAAUGCAUAGAGGAAAAACCAUCGCUAUAACCCAGCCCCGUCGAGUAGCUGCCAUAACCGUAUCUCAGCGUGUCGCAGAAGAGAAAAAGACUGCUGUAGGAAGAUUGGUUGGAUACUGUGUAAGAUUUGAAGAUAUGACAUCAGAAGCCACCAAAAUAAAGUACAUGACAGACGGAAUGUUAUUACGGGAGGCCAUCUUAGAUCCACAAUUAAAGAGAUACUCAGUUGUUAUAUUAGACGAAGCUCAUGAAAGGACGAUACAUACAGAUGUUUUAUUUGGUGUUGUCAAAGACUGCCAGAAAGAUAGAAGAAAAAAAGGAAUCCCACCACUUAAGAUAAUUGUUAUGUCAGCUACCAUGGAUGUUGAUCAUUUUUCAAGAUAUUUUAAUAACUCCCCAGUAUUAUAUUUAGAAGGAAGACAAUUUCCAAUACAGGUGUAUUAUGCCUGUAAUCCCCAGUCUGAUUACCUGUUCGCUUCACUCGUCACAUUAUUUAAAAUACACAAAGAAGCACCAAAGGGUCAUGAUAUUCUCUUGUUUCUUACUGGUCAAGAAGAAAUAGAAUCAGCAGUCCAGUCUAUUAAAGAAAUCUCCAGAGACAAAGAACAAGAAGAUCUUACACUCAUUGUCUGUCCAUUAUAUGCAGCAUUACCUUCACAAGCUCAAUUACGAGUCUUUCAACCAACACCUAAAGGAGCGCGUAAAGUUAUUGUAUCAACCAAUAUAGCAGAGACCUCAGUAACCAUACAUGGUAUUAGAUAUGUCAUUGACUGUGGUAUGGUCAAAGCUAAAGUAUAUAACCCAAAUAGUGGAUUGGAUAUUCUUAAAGUUGUCCGGGUAUCCAAAGCACAAGCAUUGCAGAGAACAGGGCGAGCUGGUCGUGAAUCUCCAGGCACAUGUUACAGACUUUAUACAGAAUCUGAAUAUGAAUCUUUACAAACUAGUACUGUGCCUGAGAUACUCAGAUGUAAUUUAGCAAGCGUUAUGUUACAGUUACUUGCCCUUGGAAUAUCUGACAUUAUUAAUUUUGAUUUCAUGGAUAAACCAGACACAGAGUCUAUUGUGAGUGCCUUGGAUCAGCUACAUUUACUAGGUGCUGUUGAAAAGGCAGACAAUAUUCAAUUAACUCCAUUAGGUAAACAAAUGGCGGCUUUUCCUCUCGACCCGAGAAUGUCGAAAACUAUUUUAGCAGCUAAAGACUAUGAUUGUUUAGAAGAAGUAUUAAGCGUUGUGUCCUUGUUAUCUGUUGAAAGUAUAUUAGUAAACCCAGCCCGUAAGCGCGCAGAGGCUAUGGCCGCGCAACAAAAGUUUAUGUCGAGUGACGGUGAUCAUAUAACCCUACUUAAUAUUUACAAAUCUUUUAAAGGCGUUAGUGGCAACAAACAAUGGUGUCAAGAAAAUUUUAUUAAUAAUCGUAACAUGAAAACAGCCAUGGAUGUACGCAGACAAUUAAGGGAAAUAUGUCAGAGAUUAGAACUUCCGUUAAAAUCUUGUGGUCAAGAUAUGACUUGUAUAAGAAAGUGUAUGACUAUUGGUUAUUUUAUGAAUGCAGCAGAGCUACAAGCUACGGGUGAAUUUAUAACGCUUUCAACAAGAAAACCGGUUUCUAUUCACCCUUCAUCAGCUUUAUUCCGGUGUAAACCAGCCUAUGUGAUAUAUAAUGAGCUUGUGCAAACAUCUAAAUGUUAUAUGAGAGAUCUUUGUUUGGUAGAUCCAGAUUGGUUAUAUGCAGCAGCACCAAAUUAUUUCCGUAGAAAAAAGCCUGCAAAUUCAAACUAAAUUCUAUGGAUUUCAUAAUAUAUAUUUUUUUUUUUUUCUUGUUGACCACAAAUUCAUAAUAGACCCACAUGUACUGUAUAUUUUGGGGGAAAAAAAUCGUAUUUGAAAAUUUGACUUUUGUGAUAUGAACCUCUUCAGACCCAAGUAGUAAAUUAUGAAAUUAGCAUCAAUACUACAGUACACAUCAUGUUCUGCACAAGAUUGGCACCAAAACUGUCUAAACAAAAUCAGUAAAUCUAUUAACAUGUUUGUUUAAAAAAAAUAAAUUUUGUUAUGCGCUUUGGUUCUCAUAAUUAGGUUAUUUAUUGAGGCAGCCACAGUGGCUCAGUAACAUGUUGGCUUGCUAACCUGGAGGUCACAUGUUUAAUCUCAGUGUUGGCGGAGAAAGUUCAUUCGGAUUUUCUGGCAUGGUUCCUCAUUGUCAGUGGUACAGGACGGAAGGCCUAGCAAGAGACAAUGUAUAGUCAUUCGUAUGGGACAAAAAAAAUGAGGUCCGGUUCGAUAUAAGAAUAGGCGCAUUUUCAAGGGCCCUGGAGCAACAGAAUAUCUGGAAAAUGUCAUACAUGACAGCUUUUACAUCUAGUCUGUAAGCAUUAUCACUUCAAGCAGGAAAAUAAGUUGAUCAGAUUCAACCUUUUCUACAUACAUGUAUCCCUUGAAAUUUUUCUACAAAUCAAUUAUGAAUACUCGGUAUGAUAAAGAAAGUUGCUUAGCUUAUUAAAUGGUAACAUUUAGACUUUUUUUACAUACAUGUAUCCUUUGAAAUUUUUCUACAAGUUAUUCAAGAAUGUGUUCAGAGAAAGUUGCUUAGCUUAUUAAAACUUUUAAAAUGUAACAUUUAGACAUUUUCUCCCAAUCUAGAUGCAGGGUUCUAAUGUAAGAAAUUAAUACAUUAUAAACAUUAAUUUUUGAUUGCUGUGUCAGCAUUAGAAUAAUGGCAAAACGUGGACAGUUUUUAAUUAAGAUAUUAUAUUUUUGACUAUUAAUUGUUACGGUUAUCAUUACUGGAUUGUUAAAUAUGUGAAAUGUACCACAUAAAUAUUAUAUAUGAAUAAAAAUAUAAAAAUGCUAAUAAAAUAUGAUUUAAAUAUAAAUGCAGUUAAAAUGCUUCUGCUUACUUGCUUAGUAUACCGAAUUAGAUGUUCACCAUGAUAUAAGAUUAACGUGUGCAGGAUAUCUUUGCAAGAAUAACACAACACCAAUUUGAAUUUUUGUUCAUCAGGGGAAAUAAUUUUUUGAAAGAUAAGCAAUUCUUGGUUGCUUUUCCCCAAAGCUUUCAAUUUUUAAGUUUUGAAAUCUUAAACACUGAGUGGUUAUUACUUAUCAAGACCCCAAAGAACUAGAUUAAAUUGGUGUCUCAUAAGUUAGGCAAGAAAGCCCAGUAUGACAUUGUACAAAUUAAACAAACUCAGCUCUUAUGUACAGAUUAUUAAACGAGUUGUAGAUUUGUCACAAGAGAUGUGAUGCAAUGGAACUAUAUAUUAUAUACAACCUGGAUGUUAACAUUGUCAUAUUGUCAAAUGUUAGUGUUAAUGACAAUAGUUAAGUGGAGGAACUGUAUGACUGGCAUGUGGUUUUAUAAUGCACAUGCAUUCAUCGCUGUCAACAUUCAGUUUAAGACCCAAGUUUGUAUUUCACCAAUAGCUCUAUUGCAGACAAUGCUAUGUAUUUAGUGGGACAAGAUCUCAUUCUAUAUAAAAUGAGAUGGCUAUCUCAGCGGAAUUUCAUGUUUGAACCAGGAAUUGGGACCCCAUGCCCAACUCAACCUGUCGUACUUGGAAUGCCUGAGGCUCCACCAAUUCAAGUAAAAUUGAGAUGAAAUUUCGCAUGAUUGUUACUUUGGACAACUGCACAUCGAUUGAUGCGACGUCAUAUUUCAAGGUGGCAGUGAUGACGUCCUGCUCAGUUCGUGAUCCAUAUUACACUUAUACUUGAUUUCUUCUACAAUGAUGUACUUGUCUGAACUUAAUCCUUUAUUCAUUGCAUGUGCUAUGGGUAAUGUGAGUGGUGCACAGAGUAUGAAGUCUAGCCAUAUCCCUUUCUUAUUGUAGGUUAUAUAAAUUUUAUGUUUACAUCAUAUGAAUGAGAAGCUUUAUGAUUAUAAUGGAUCAACCAGAACCUAUUUUAGAUGACAGAUAUUACCAAAUUGUACAGUUAGGUGAUUUUUAUGUAAGCAUCAUUAAAGACAAGAAAAAUACCACAAAAGUCAUCAGGGAAUUGACAGAGAGUAUGCCUAAUAAAGAAUUCAAUUAUCUGAAGAGAGUUAAAAGUACAAAUAGUAAAG
RNA transcript from Patella vulgata (common limpet), 4394 nucleotides. It is a transcript of the gene named probable inactive tRNA-specific adenosine deaminase-like protein 3, with no coding region annotated. The record is from RefSeq and is a predicted model, not a curated record. The transcript has 3 exons. Lineage: Eukaryota; Metazoa; Mollusca; Gastropoda; Patellidae.